Molecule: small RNA, 257 nt
Filed under: Gorilla gorilla gorilla (western lowland gorilla)
Lineage: Eukaryota; Metazoa; Chordata; Mammalia; Primates; Hominidae
Description: Metazoan signal recognition particle RNA (ENSGGOG00000036712.1)
Source: RNAcentral
GCCGGGCGUGGUGGUGGGCACCUGUAAUCCCAACCACUCAGGAGGCUGAGGCAGAGAAUUGCUUGAACCUGGGAGGCGGAGGUUGCAGUGAGCCAAGAUCACGCCACUACACUCCAGCCUGGGCGACAGAGCGAGACUCCUCUCAAAAAAAAAAAAAGAGAUGGAGUCUUGCUCUGUCGCCCAGGCUGGAGUGCAAUGGCGCAAUCUCAGCCCACUGCAACCUCCGCCUCCCAGCUUCAAGUGAUUCUCCUGCCUCA